GACGAACGCUGGCGGCGUGCCUAAUACAUGCAAGUCGAACGCACUCUCGUUUAGAUUGAAGGAGCUUGCUCCUGAUUGAUAAACAUUUGAGUGAGUGGCGGACGGGUGAGUAACACGUGGGUAACCUGCCCUAAAGUGGGGGAUAACAUUUGGAAACAGAUGCUAAUACCGCAUAAAACCUAAACACCGCAUGGUGUAGGGUUGAAAGAUGGUUUCGGCUAUCACUUUAGGAUGGACCCGCGGUGCAUUAGUUAGUUGGUGAGGUAAAGGCUCACCAAGACCGUGAUGCAUAGCCGACCUGAGAGGGUAAUCGGCCACACUGGGACUGAGACACGGCCCAGACUCCUACGGGAGGCAGCAGUAGGGAAUCUUCCACAAUGGACGAAAGUCUGAUGGAGCAACGCCGCGUGAGUGAAGAAGGUUUUCGGAUACGUAAACUCUGUUGUUGGAGAAGAAUGUAUCUGAUAGUAACUGAUCAGGUAGU
Molecule: ribosomal RNA, 484 nt
Filed under: uncultured bacterium
Lineage: Bacteria
Description: bacterial SSU rRNA
Rfam family: Bacterial small subunit ribosomal RNA
Source: RNAcentral